RNAcentral lists this ribosomal RNA (253 nucleotides) under uncultured bacterium. Its description in RNAcentral is "partial 16S ribosomal RNA". It matches the Rfam family "Bacterial small subunit ribosomal RNA", at positions 524 to 776 of the family's 1533-position model. The record is from RNAcentral.
UACAGGGGGGGCAAGCGUUGUUCGGAAUUACUGGGCGUAAAGGGUUCGUAGGUGGCUUACUAAGUCAAACGUGAAAUCCCUCAGCUUAACUGGGGAACUGCGUCUGAUACUGGAAAGCUUGAGUGCAGGAGAGGAACGCGGAAUUCCAGGUGUAGCGGUGAAAUGCGUAGAUAUCCGGAGGAACACCGGUGGCGAAGGCGGCUUCCUGGACCGACACUGACGCUGAGGCGCGAAAGCUAGGGGAGCAAACGGG